AUCAUAUUCGUUUUGUGUAGUUUCUUUUGUUUACUAUUUUGUCAUCGGACUCGGAUUUCUUUUAAAACUGAGUUUCUCUGUGCAUAUUGUUGUGUGUUUGUUUAUUCUACAUGAGCUAGAUAUAAUUGUAUAGCGGGAGGGUUGAGAUCUAACAAAGCAUGUUUAGCCCCGCCGUAUUUUUGCGCCUGUCCCAAGACAGUAGACUCUGAUCUUUGUUAGUUUUUUUUAUGUUUUUUUUUUGUCUAAGUUAAGUGUGACGUCCAUUUUCACAUUACUAGUAUAUAUUUUUAUUUAGAGACCAGCUGAAGCCGCCUCUGGUUGCAGGAUUUUCUCGUUGUGUUGAAGACUCAUUGGUGGCCUUCGGCUGUGCUCUCUGGUUAGGCUGACUGUUGUUUCUUUGACACAUUUUUUAUUUCCAUUCUCAAUUUUAUUGAUUGAUCAAUUGAUUGAUUGAUUGAUUGAUUGAUUGAUUGAUUCAUUCAUUGAUCAUUUUACUACAAGCAAAAGUCAUGAUCAUUUGAGAAUCCUUUAUUUGUAUUGUAGUGUUAAUUUCACCAAUGAAAC
RNAcentral lists this long non-coding RNA (564 nucleotides) under Mytilus galloprovincialis (Mediterranean mussel). The record is from RNAcentral. Lineage: Eukaryota; Metazoa; Mollusca; Bivalvia; Mytilida; Mytilidae.